This is a non-coding RNA of Salmo salar (Atlantic salmon), 72 nucleotides long. The record is from Rfam. NCBI's taxonomy places the organism in Eukaryota, Metazoa, Chordata, Actinopteri, Salmoniformes, Salmonidae.
UCCCGUGUGGCUCAGUUGGUAGAGCAUGGUGUUUGCAACGCCAGGGUUGUGGGUUCGAUUCCCACGAGGGAC